Rhea pennata is the source of this 2116-nucleotide non-coding RNA. The record is from the annotation of a RefSeq genome assembly. NCBI's taxonomy places the organism in Eukaryota, Metazoa, Chordata, Aves, Rheiformes, Rheidae.
GCCCACCACCCCUCCCGCCCCGCCACCAUGAGCCCUCGGCUCCGCGGCCUCGUCCUCCUCCUCCUCGCGGCCCUGCCAGGGCUGCGGGCGGACGCGCAGCUGAUCGAGGACGGAGGGGGCCUCCAGCCGCCCGGCGGGAGCCUCCGCCUCUCCUGCAAGGCCUCCGGGUUCACCUUCAGCAGCUUCAGCAUGGAAUGGGUCCGGCAGGCGCCCGGCAAGGGGCUCGAGUACGUCGCUGCUAUUAGCAGCGGUAGUAGCACAUACUACGCGGAUGCGGUGAAAGGGCGCUUCACCAUCUCCCGGGACAACGCGCAGAGCACGCUCUACCUGCAGAUGAACAGCCUCAAGGCCGAGGACACCGGCACCUACUACUGCGCGAAAACUGCUGGUACUCACAGCGCGCCGUGGAGUGCUGGUAGCAUCGACGCCUGGGGCCGAGGCACCGAGGUCAUCGUCUCCUCCGGGAGCCCCAGGGCCCCCAGCCUCUUCCCGCUCGUCUCCUGCAGCGCGUCGGAGAGCUCCGAGCUCUACUCGGUGGGCUGCUUGGCCGUGGACUUCCUGCCCAAGGAGCUCACCUUCUCCUGGGCCAACUACGCCAACGAGAGCGUCUCCGAGGGCGUCUCCACCUUCCCGCCGGCGCUCGCCGCCGGGCUCUACACGGCCGCCAGCCAGCUGACGCUGCCGCUGUCCAAGGGCAAGAGCGAGCAGCCCUUCUUCUGCGCGGCCCGGCACGUGCAAGGCAACCGCCUCGUGGAGCUGCACAACCCCAGAGGCCCCCUGCCCGACGAAGUCCCCGUGCUGACCAUCCACCCGCCGUCCCGCGAGGACUUCGAGGGGCCCUUCAGGAACUCCUCGGUGCUCUGCCGCGUCCUCAGCGCCCGCAAGCUGCCCGUCGCCGUGCAGUGGCUGAAGAACGGGGCUCUGCAGGAGACCGGCGUCACCACCCAGGACCCCGUCUCGGACGGCCACGGCGCCUACGUCGUCAGCAGCCGCGUCUCCGUCCUCGAGUCGGAGUGGGACGCCGGCGUCGUCUACACGUGCAAGGUGGACUCGGAGCUGAGGAACACGAGCAAAGCCCUGGAGUGCGGCUUCGAGCACCUGCCGGACACGGAGAUCACGGUGAAGAUGAUCGCCCCGGCCUUCGCUGACAUCUUGAUCAACAAGGUGGCCAAGCUGACGUGCCGGGUGAGCAACCUGCCCAGCGUCGAGGGCCUGACCUUCACCUGGAGGAAGGAGACGGGCAAGGAGCCGGAGACCAAGACCCUGCCGCGGCUGCUGCAGCCCAACGGGCUCUACAGCGUGGACAGCGUCGCCAGCGUCUGCGCCGACGAGUGGGACAAGGGCGAGGUCUACGUGUGCCGAGUGACCCACCCCGAACUGCUCUUCCCCGUCGAGGAGAAGCUGCAGAAGAUGACCAGCAACAACAGCAAAGCCCCGUCCAUCUACGUCUUCUCGCCGCCGGCCGAGCAGCUCUCCGCGCGCAAGACGGCCACGGUCACCUGCCUGGUGAAGGGCUUCAACCCGCCCGACCUCGUCGUGCGCUGGCUGCGCAACGGGGAGCCGGCGGCGGCCGGCGAGUACGUGACGCUGCCGCCGGUGCCCGAGGAGCACCCGCCGCGCUCCUACUUCACCUACAGCGCCCUGACCGUGGGCAGCGACGAGUGGGACGCCGGCAACGUCUACACCUGCCUCGUGGGCCACGAGAAGCUGCCCUUGCAGGUGGCCCAGAAGUCGGUGGACAAGUUCUCGGCCUGCCUGGACGCCUUCGCGGAGCAGGAAGAGCAGAGUCUGAACAACCUCUGGACCACGGCGUCCACCUUCAUCGUCCUCUUCAUCCUCAGCCUCUUCUACAGCGCCACGGUGACGCUGAUCAAGGUGAAAUAAGGCCGAUUCCCGGGAAGGGCGCGCUGCCCGGAGAGGCCGCCGCCAGCUCCGGCUCCUCGGCAGCCCGUUUCCCCACCGACGGAUUUGGGACUCUUUUGCUCUUCGUUUCGGCUGGAUUUGGCGCGAAAGCGCCGCCGCGGGGCGGGAGACGCUGCAGCUGGUCCUGGGUCGCCCCUGUGACCCCCCCCCCUUGUAAAUAGCUGGAAAAAUAAAGGUUCCUGGUGUCUCCCGA